Molecule: ribosomal RNA, 499 nt
Filed under: uncultured bacterium
Lineage: Bacteria
Description: bacterial SSU rRNA
Rfam family: Bacterial small subunit ribosomal RNA
Source: RNAcentral
GAUGAACGCUAGCUACAGGCUUAACACAUGCAAGUCGAGGGGCAGCGGGAUUGAAGCUUGCUUCAAUUGCCGGCGACCGGCGCACGGGUGAGUAACGCGUAUCCAACCUUCCGUACACUCAGGGAUAGCCUUUCGAAAGAAAGAUUAAUACCUGAUGGUAUGAUGAGAUCGCAUGGUAUCAUCAUUAAAGAUUUAUCGGUGUACGAUGGGGAUGCGUUCCAUUAGGUAGUAGGCGGGGUAACGGCCCACCUAGCCUACGAUGGAUAGGGGUUCUGAGAGGAAGGUCCCCCACAUUGGAACUGAGACACGGUCCAAACUCCUACGGGAGGCAGCAGUGAGGAAUAUUGGUCAAUGGGCAGAGCCUGAACCNGCCAAGUAGCGUGAAGGAUGACUGCCCUAUGGGUUGUAAACCUUCUUUUAUAAAGGAUAAAGUCGGGUAUGUAUACCCGUUUGCAUGUACUUUAUGAAUAAGGAUCGGCUAACUCCGUGCCAGCAGCCG